This 367-nucleotide ribosomal RNA is filed under the name uncultured bacterium. RNAcentral's name for it is "bacterial SSU rRNA". It matches the Rfam family "Bacterial small subunit ribosomal RNA", at positions 43 to 377 of the family's 1533-position model. The record is from RNAcentral.
GGCCGCGGGAAUUCGAUUCAGGCCUAACACAUGCAAGUCGAACGGGACUAUCAAGUGAUGUUUUCGGACUGAACUUUUUAGUUUAGUGGCGGACGGGUGAGUAACGCGUGGACAACCUGCCUCUCACUGGGGGAUAGCAGCUGGAAACGGCUGGUAAUACCGCAUGCGUUCAAUGUGCCGCAUGACACAUUGAAGAAAGAUUUAUCGGUGAGAGAUGGGUCCGCGUCUGAUUAGCCAGUUGGCGGGGUAACGGCCCACCAAAGCGACGAUCAGUAGCCGGCCUGAGAGGGCGGACGGCCACAUUGGGACUGAGACACGGCCCAGACUCCUACGGGAGGCAGCAGUGGGGGAUAUUGCACAAUGGGCG